UACGUAGGGGGCGAGCGUUGUCCGGAAUUAUUGGGCGUAAAGAGCGUGUAGGCGGUUCGGUAAGUCUGCCGUGAAAACCUGGGGCUCAACCCCAGGCGUGCGGUGGAAACUGACGGACUAGAGGAUGGUAGAGGGGAGUGGAAUUCCCGGUGUAGCGGUGAAAUGCGCAGAUAUCGGGAUGAACACCAGUAGCGAAGGCGGCUCCCUGGGCCAUUCCUGACGCUGAGACGCGAAAGCGUGGGGAGCAAACAGG
Molecule: ribosomal RNA, 253 nt
Filed under: uncultured bacterium
Lineage: Bacteria
Description: partial 16S ribosomal RNA
Rfam family: Bacterial small subunit ribosomal RNA
Source: RNAcentral